AGAUAUACUGCUUGAAGUUGUGCCCUCUGGGGAAUUUUUCUUACCUCUAGUCUGCAGUAAAGCAGUAAUCCUAUGCUGUCCACUUGGCACAAACCAGGACAACCACCAGCACAUACAGUCAUGAUAGAGAGGACUGCCUAAAACAUAUAGAUACUUAAUUUUGAGCUGACUAUAGUGAAUGGAUGAAACAUUGGGUUGGCUCCUUUGGGGAAGUGUUGGAAUGGAGAGGUCUGCCAGGGAAGCUUUGGAUGCCAUACGGUGAAGAUCGUAGAACAACUGUUGGCCAUUUGGAAGAGGAUUGCUCUACUGGAUUGUUUACUCUUGUGAGCAAAAAUAUAUUUGUGCUAUUACAUAUUUUGUGGUCCAUUUGUUGAAGCAAUUGACCUUGCCUAAUAAAAACAAGAUUAUUGAAGAAGGAGCAAUAAACACAUUUAUUAAUAAAUUUAUCCUGAGUGAAACAGCA
This is a long non-coding RNA of Galeopterus variegatus (Sunda flying lemur), 463 nucleotides long. RefSeq lists it as uncharacterized. The record is from RefSeq and is a predicted model, not a curated record. The transcript has 3 exons. NCBI's taxonomy places the organism in Eukaryota, Metazoa, Chordata, Mammalia, Dermoptera, Cynocephalidae.